GAGUCCCAUGAUGAGGACACUUACGAAGAAAUUCCUUGAAUCUUUCCCACGCCUGAUAUAGGGUCUUGUGAUCCAAUUAUUGAAAAGUAGUUAUCGCAUUUUGCAACUU
Small nucleolar RNA from Gossypium arboreum, 109 nucleotides. It matches the Rfam family "Plant small nucleolar RNA R71". Rfam says of the family: R71 is a member of the C/D box family of snoRNAs containing the C (UGAUGA) and D (CUGA) box motifs. The record is from Rfam. Lineage: Eukaryota; Viridiplantae; Streptophyta; Magnoliopsida; Malvales; Malvaceae.